Molecule: ribosomal RNA, 253 nt
Filed under: uncultured bacterium
Lineage: Bacteria
Description: partial 16S ribosomal RNA
Rfam family: Bacterial small subunit ribosomal RNA
Source: RNAcentral
AACAGAGGUCUCAAGCGUUGUUCGGAUUCAUUGGGCGUAAAGGGUGCGUAGGCGGCGCGGUAAGUCGGGUGUGAAAUCUCGGAGCUUAACUCCGAAACUGCAUUCGAUACUGCCGUGCUUGAGGACUGGAGAGGAGACUGGAAUUUACGGUGUAGCGGUGAAAUGCGUAGAUAUCGUAAGGAAGACCAGUGGCGAAGGCGGGUCUCUGGACAGUUCCUGACGCUGAGGCACGAAGGUCAGGGGAGCAAACGGG